UACGUAGGGUGCGAGCGUUGUCCGGAAUUAUUGGGCGUAAAGAGCUCGUAGGCGGUGUGUCACGUCGAUCGUGAAAACUUGGGGCUUAACUCUGAGCUUGCGGUCGAUACGGGCAUCACUGGAGUUCGGCAGGGGAGACUGGAAUUCCUGGUGUAGCGGUGAAAUGCGCAGAUAUCAGGAAGAACACCCGUGGCGAAAGCGGCUCUCUGGAACGGUACUGACGCUGAGACGCGAAAGCGUGGGGAGCAAACAGG
This 254-nucleotide ribosomal RNA is filed under the name uncultured bacterium. RNAcentral describes it as "partial 16S ribosomal RNA". It matches the Rfam family "Bacterial small subunit ribosomal RNA", at positions 524 to 776 of the family's 1533-position model. The record is from RNAcentral.